GACGAACGCUGGCGGCGUGCUUAACACAUGCAAGUCGAACGGAAAGGCCCUGCUUUUGUUGGGUGCUCGAGUGGCGAACGGGUGAGUAACACGUGAGUAACCUGCCCUUGACUUUGGGAUAACUUCAGGAAACUGGGGCUAAUACCGGAUAGGAGCUCCUGCUGCAUGGUGGGGGUUGGAAAGUUUCGGCGGUUGGGGAUGGACUCGCGGCUUAUCAGCUUGUUGGUGGGGUAGUGGCUUACCAAGGCUUUGACGGGUAGCCGGCCUGAGAGGGUGACCGGCCACAUUGGGACUGAGAUACGGCCCAGCCUCCUACGGGAGGCAGCAGUGGGGAAUAUUGCACAAUGGGCGGAAGCCUGAUGCAGCAACGCCGCGUGCGGGAUGACGGCCUUCGGGUUGUAAACCGCUUUCGCCUGUGACGAAGCGUGAGUGACGGUAAUGGGUAAAGAAGCACCGGCUAACUACGUG
RNAcentral lists this ribosomal RNA (468 nucleotides) under uncultured bacterium. RNAcentral describes it as "partial 16S ribosomal RNA". It matches the Rfam family "Bacterial small subunit ribosomal RNA", at positions 28 to 507 of the family's 1533-position model. The record is from RNAcentral.